UUCCAUGAUCUUCACAGGAGCUCUCUACAGUCAGCAAAGCAUCCAGUUCAUAUGCAGGAGCCAACUCAAGGUUCUUGCACUCAACAAAGCAUUUCUUCCUUGACUCUUACAGAUUCUGGAAGUGCCUUCUAUAGAAUGAAUGGCUUUUCAUAAUGGGAGAAAAUCCAUGGAAAAGUUUUACAAGACCUUACUAAAAUUGCAGAUUAAGACUCAUCAGUAGUGUUAACAGAAAGUGAAUAUCUUCUUGAAUUAAGGACACAAAUCUGACAGAAUAGAUUGAAUUAAUACAGCAUACAAUACAGAUGCAUUGUCUAGUAGUUUAAAUGCCAUGAAAAACUUGGAAAGUUUCUCUUAAAUUUUAUGUUCUAUUUUGAACUUGUGUGAUUCAUUUAUGUUAUGUUUAAUAUUCUUCAGGGAAACCACUCUGAUUUAGAUCAGCUGAAGGUGUGAUCCACCAUGUAUUAUAAAGAGAAAAGCAGGAAUACAUUUAAAGGAAUCUAGCAGAAGUUUUCAAGUUCUCUUGGAGGUUUGAGUACUACCCAUCUGUAGUCCAUAUACACCUAAUGUGUGAUGUUACCACACAAACUCAAAAACUCUUUGAACGUUUAUCAUAAUUGUAACUGUUUUUAAUGGACCAGAAUAUCCAUGCUGCCUAAGCAGUGCAGAACCUUAGACUGUGAUUAGCUGUUUACUGCUUGUGCCUUUCUUCUGCUGAACCUAAAGGUGAUCUGCAUUUUUUUUCUUCUUACAGUUUCUCCUAAGCAUUUGAACUGCAUUCUGUCUGUACAGCUUUAGCUGCCUGAAGGAUUGCCCGUUCAGUUGCCUGAUGCUGGAACACUGUGAAAAAGGAAUAAAGAAAAGCACAUCAGUGCUGUCAAAAUUCAGAACUCUCCUGCAGCAGCAGACUUUCUUGAUAAUGGGACAGUCAAUAAAUAUUGCAAGAGCCGAAAGUCAGCUUGCAAAUUGCAGUGUGAAUGACACAUAG
RNAcentral lists this long non-coding RNA (985 nucleotides) under Phasianus colchicus (ring-necked pheasant). Its description in RNAcentral is "lncRNA (ENSPCLG00000019882.1)". The record is from RNAcentral. Lineage: Eukaryota; Metazoa; Chordata; Aves; Galliformes; Phasianidae.